Molecule: long non-coding RNA, 2329 nt
Organism: Equus asinus (donkey)
Lineage: Eukaryota; Metazoa; Chordata; Mammalia; Perissodactyla; Equidae
Source: Ensembl
GAUGUUACCUUGGGGCCGAUCUUCCUCAGCCAAACGAGGAGGAUUGGUGGCAUAUGUUAACUCAGGGCUAAUCUUUCUGAAAAAAUAAAUUAGGCAUUAUAGACAAGGUAAAAAUAUCCCAUUAUUCAAAAAUUCCAAUAUCAGGCAUAAAUCUUGUUAAAUACAAGCAUUGGAUAUGGGUUAAGGAGUGUUUAGAGUAGAAUUGUUUAUCCUAGAAAAACAAGAAGGUUAAAAAAUGUUCCAAUUACAAGUGGACAAAACAAUAAUUUUCAUACAUUCAUGGGGUGGAAUACGACAUAGGGGUGAAAUAAAUGAGCUAUAGUUCUAAAUGCUUGAAUAGAUAAAGGCUACAAAGACGUUUAAAGGCAGGUCAUGUAAGAAUACAAACAAUAUUGUUCAUUUUCGUAAAUUCCCAGCACUACUAUCACUAAACACCUUACAUGUAUAUCUAUAUGAUUAUAUGCACAUGUACAAACACUCAUAUAUAUGAAUAAAUACAUAUACAUUGAUAAUCUGAAAUAAGAGUACCUAGUACUGAAACUAUUGAGAAAGACAAGAGAAUGAUAAAAAGCUCACUUUUAGGAUUUCUUGUGGUAUGAAAUAAUGGGAGAAAUCUCAUCCAAGUGUGAGGAUACAUGGGGGCAGAGUGGCUAAAUUAUAAAAAUGCAUUCUGCCAUUUAUAUAUUUUUAAAAAAUAACAUUGAGUUUGUAAAAAUAUAUCAAUAGUAUUUUAUGUCUAAAUGGUUUGUGGAUACCUUGAUGUUUACUUUCAAAACUCAACAUGGAAUAUAUUUAUUCAUUAUUGGUGCAUGACAUUUUGAAUGAAGAACAAAGAAAAUUUUGUUCAAAUGGUUUAUUAUCUGAUAAAUUUUAUGUUGUCUCCUUAUGUUUAGCCACCAAACUGUGACAUAUAUAAAGAUGUUUUACAUUGCACCAAUAUGUGGAAUCCAGUCUGCGCAACCGAUGACAUCACUUAUCACAACAUAUGCACUUUCUGCCAGCAAAAAUUGUAAGAUCGCAAAAUUAAAUAUUGGCUCCUCCAAAAUAGUGAAAAAACCAUCACAAAAUGAUAGGACAAUCCAUAUUUCUGAUAAUGUAGGCUCAGUAUCUUUGGAAAAUUAUUCUCUCUGUAAAAGCCACAAUACCUAUCCCUUGAACCUAAAAGUUCUCAUUUCUAAAAUUACUUUUGUAUUUGACCUCUCAUCAUAACUCUAUGGGAUAUUAUGCAAAUGUAUAAAGCAAUUAACUAACUUAAUUAUUAUGACUUAUAGAUGGCAGUCUAAUGACCAAUAUAAGGUAAUUCCAAAGUCCAGAUGCGAAGUGAUAACCUCCAUGAUGUAGGUUCAAGCUAUAGGGAGCGUGACUGAGCAAAAACCUUGCUGACUACAGAACUCUGAAAUCCAUCACAAUGGGCCCAUUUCUGCUGGAAGGGACUCCUCUGCUGGUCCACUUGGGCUCCUGAACUCCAUGACAGACUCCUAACCUUCCUGAGAGAGCAGGGCAUUCUAGGACACUUCCACCUGACCUCCCUUCCUGUGUCCUUCACUCUAAAGGAGUCUGCAGUCUACAGUUUUGGCCAACCUUUGUGCCAGCCCAUGUUCUCUCACAGGUGUUUCCUCUCAUUUAAUCCUCUACUUGGCUUCUACUUCUAGAGGACCUCUAAGACAAGUUCUGGUCCUCUCCUCUCUUAGGUCGGGGCGGGUUCCAAGAACGAAUCAGGACUGAGCAAGUAGGGAGAGUCAUGGAGCCCAGGUCAGGGGAGGACGUGUGCAGGCCUGGGGAGCAGGCAGGGCCCAGCUGCUUGUGGCUGUGGAGCACAACCUCUCUUCUUCUAUGUUCAAAGCCUCCUCAUGGAGAAGCUGUUAAUGCAAUACACAGGCAAUUUUAAAUGUUCUUUUAAUAAUUUCUUUCUCUUUCUCUUGUUCUUUCCAUACAGAAAGCCCGGUAAAAAAUUGGAUUUUGAUUUUUACGGUGUAUGUUCUUAGGUCAGAGCUACACGUUCCUAUGCCUUUUCUUGCAAUGCUAUUUUCAGUGGAUUCUACAAGGAAUUAGAGUCUUCUCAGUCAGAGCUUUAAAUUUGCAGAUGACCACACAAAGCCUGCUGUGGCAUACAAGAUGAAAUGUAGGAUGUUGAAGAAUUUUUCUAAUUCUAAGAAUCUGUGAUUCAAAGAUUUUUCUCCGCUAUGUUGAAUUAUCAGUGGCAGUCGAAAAACUGUCUUAAUUGUAGUUGAUAAUAUAGAGCCUAUGUAACUUAAAAUCAUAAAUAUUUAAAUCAAUAAAAGUUAAAUAACAGUAUCUUUGUUAAAAUACCAUUUCUUUUCAUUCGUUG